GGAGAAGAAACAUCAUCUGCUCAGGGCUGGGAAGUUCUGCGCCACCUGUACAAGAAGCAAAUGUGACUCUGGAUCCAGACACGGCUCAUCCCCACCUCAUCCUGUCUGAGGAUGGGAAAAGUGUGAGAUGGGGAGACAAACGGC
Gopherus evgoodei (Goodes thornscrub tortoise) is the source of this 144-nucleotide long non-coding RNA. RefSeq lists it as uncharacterized. The record is from RefSeq and is a predicted model, not a curated record. The transcript is spliced from 3 exons. NCBI's taxonomy places the organism in Eukaryota, Metazoa, Chordata, Testudines, Testudinidae.